Non-coding RNA from Globicephala melas (long-finned pilot whale), 5096 nucleotides. NCBI's taxonomy places the organism in Eukaryota, Metazoa, Chordata, Mammalia, Artiodactyla, Delphinidae. The record is from RefSeq and is a predicted model, not a curated record.
UCAGCGGCCAUGGCUCACGGGCCCAGCCGCUCCGCGGCAUGUGGGAUCUUCCCGGAACGGGGUACGAACCCGUGUCCCCUGUAUCGGCAGGCGGACUCUCAACCACUGCGCCACCAGGGAAGCCCUGACGUUUUUCUUUUUAACGAACAUGGUAUGAUUCAUGUAACCGAUUCUUUUCACUUAAUAUAUUUAUACAUUUUCCAAGUCAACAUAUAAAAAGAUAUCUCUUUCUUAAAAAUAACCAAAUAAUAUUCCAUUGCAAGGAUUUUCCAUUUCAAGCUUAUAGGUGCUACACUGAUGCAGACCCCGAGGCCCCCCAAAAUAUGGCAAUGGUAAAUAUGACCUUCAUAGGGCAAAGUGCCCAAGAUAUAAGAAGAAAAUUACAAAAGUUAGAUGGUACAUUUGGAAUGAACUCUUCGCAACUGGUAGAUGCUGCUUUUAAAGUGUUGAGCAACAGGGAACAAUGACAGAAGGAAGAAGAUGCAAAAUGGAAUGCAGCUUUUCUGGCAGCAGCAUUAGAUUCUCGGAAGGCGAGUAACCUGAAGAGAGGUAAGCCACCACUGGGGAGGGAACAGUGUGCUUACUGUAAGGAGGAAGGGUAUUGGAAAACAGAUUGCCCUAGACAAAAAAAUAAGAAUGAAAACAAUGAAAGAAAGAUGGGGGCCUCUCAUGUGGUAGAAAGCGAGGAACACUCUGAAAAUAAAUGAAGAGGCCUGGGGGCUCGACUUGAGGUGUCCAAUUCCAAUUCCCCCACAGGAGUCCCAGGUAACUUUGACAGUGGGGGACAAGUUGAUUGACUUUCUGAUAGAUAUGGGUGCAACAUACCCUGUGGUAAAUACCAAGGGGGCGCAGAAAACAUCUCAAUCCAUCCUGGUCAAGGGAGUUUCUGGAGAAGUACAAAAUCAUUCUUUCUUACAACCUCUAGAAUGCCAGUUAGGGGACCUCACCCGGAAACACAGUUUCUUAUAUAUGCCAGUAUAUCCAAUCUCUCUUUUGGGCCGAGAUCUCCUUUGGAAAUUAAAUGCUCAAGUAAUUUUUUUGCCAGGACAGCUUGACAUUGGGGUCCCACCAGAGCACACUGUAAGCCUAGAGAUGGCCCUCAUGGACACCCCAGAAAAGGAGACAGAGCUCUGUCCCUCCGAGGCUUCGAAAAGGACUCGAAGCUCAGGUGCAGCGGAGGAAAUUGACAGGAAGCUGAGGCCUAUGGACCACAGACCAGGAAGGGCCUUCGCACCCACCCUGCAUUUCCAAGGAGUGAACUGAGGGUUAUGGGAACCAUGACAACGGCCCUCCAGGAGGAAACCAGUGGUGCUCUGCCCUGUCCUGUCUUUUCUGUCUGCAUCGGGGAGCCUUGGAACUGCAAGCUGGCUGCGUAUCACCUGGGAGGGGUGAGGUUCCUUGGGGGGACACAUCACUGCAUGACCAGCUUCUUCUGGAACCCUUGGGGCCAGCAGAGCUGCCGUCUGUUCUACCCUGGCCUCAGGCACCACCUUUGCCUAAAGAGCACCUGGCACCAAGGAGAAACAUGAUGUCACGAUGUCAUUAGAGCCAGAUAACUCCUCCUGGCCAGCCCUGCCAAGGGUCACGGAGCACAGAAGUUGGACUAGGCCCCAGUCUCUCCCGACUCCAGGGCCACUGUCCUUUGCUUACAGAGAUAUUAGCAAAAAUUAUUUAAAAGCAUUCGAUUUCUAAUAACAUUCUCGCUCCAUACCUAUCUCAAUGACUGCUGGAAACAGGAAGGCACUUCCUCCUUAGGCUCCAAGUCCAGGUGACCUUCCUUAGUGGCCAAUGUUGUUUUUUAAAACCACGAGUCUCAGAGUUGACUCUGGUAGGUUGAGUCCACGGACACGUAGACAUGCUGAUGACAUGUCUCUUGCCCAUGGUAAGAGUCUCUUAAGGGUAAGACACAACAGAAAUCAAAGUUGAAGAAGUGACAGAUGUCCAUAAAGUCCUCUCAGUGGAGGACUUGGUCCAAAUGGAUGAGGUUGGAGUUGGCAUCCUUCUCACAGGGAGACCAGGCUGGGUAUUUUGCUGGGAGCAGGCCUGUCGGAUUCCCUGGCUACCUAGAUGCUUAGCAGCCCUGGGAAAACCCAAGUCCACAGACCAAGGUUUUUCUGUUAGGUCUCGGGGUCCUGGCAGCUUGUCUUCUGCCUGUCCCUGUGUCUGUCUGACCAGUUCCCUGCCCUUAGUUCUUAUUGCAACAGGCCCUCACACCUCCCCCGCUGCCACUCUCCUGACUCCAUGGGUGGAUGCCUCUCUUGUGAGCUUCCCAAGCACUCUGCUUCCUGAGAGCCUACUGCUUCCCCAAAACCCCAGAGCCCUGGAAGUUGCAGGGACCUGGGAAACAAAGCAGAAGGCUUUUCCGGGAUGUGACCCCUGCAGAGUCCCCCACGUGGCCUGGAGUUUCCAUAAUGAUGGUAAGGAGUCUAAGAUUCUAAACUGAAAAGGCAGCUGGUCAAGUGAGACAGUGAUAGGGAAGAGGAAUCUGGGGGGAAAAGAGCUCCGAGGUGAAUUGCGGGGGGCUGGAGGAGGAGUGUGGGGGGGCAGGGCACAGAUCUGAGGUCCAUUUUUUUGUCUCCCACUCUCUGAAAUGACUUUCACACCUUGUUGUCACCCCCCCCAAAACCUCCCAUGCCCUACCUCUCCUCCCUCUCAGCUGCUACACUGCUUCCUGUUUAACCAAGAAAACAGAUAAACCGCCUCUGAUUUUAUCAAUAGGCUGUGGACCCCACCCCCCUUCCUAACCAAGGACAUCCCUCCUGCAACUGACCUCUAUCUACCUGCAUCACUAGGUUUUCCCUCCGUAUGGGAUCCUUGUCAAGCAAAUAAAAUCACUCUAGGAGAGUGAAUUUUUAGAAAUCAACUCUAUUGAGUUAUGAUGUGGAUAUAAAAGGCACCCAUUAUAAGUGCAAAGUUAGAUGAGUUCUGACACGUGUAUUCCCCUGCGUAACUGCCACCACCGCUGUGAAGUCAGAGGUCAUUCCCUUCAACCCCGUGAGGGAUCCCACUGCUGAGGAGUGUUCCCUUGUAUGGAUGCAGCACAAUUUGUUCAUGCCUUUGCCUGUUGGUAUACAAUUGGGCUAUUUCUACUUUUGGGCUAUUAUGAACAAAAAGUGCAGUGAAAAUGUAUAAGUCUGUGUGGAUGCACGUUACUUCUCUUGAGUAAAUAUCUACAGGCAGAAUAGCUGGGCCAUAUGAUAAUCUAUGUUUAGUUUUACUAGAAACUUCCAAACUUGUUCUCCAAAGUGGCUCUACCAUUUUACAUUUCCAUAGUGGUCCAUGAAAGUUCUAGAUGCUGCAAUUAGUAUUGCCAGUUUUUUCUCCCUAUCUUUAGCCAUUCUAUCGCGUGUAUAGAGGGGUAUGCAUUUUGGUUGUAAUUUGCAUUUUUGUUUUAUGACGAAUCGUGUUGAGCAUCUUUUCAGGUACUCAUUGGCUAUUCAAGUGUCACGCACAUGUAUUGUCUCACAGUUUCCAUGGGUCCUGCAGGCCUGGCUGAGCUGGGCCUUCGGCUCGGGGUCUCACAAGGUGUUGGCCAGGGCUGCAGGUCUUUUUCCAGUCACACAUGGUUGUUGGCAGAAUUCACUUCCUUGCAGUCGUAGAACCCAUGGUGAUUCAGGCCAAAGGGAAAGCUCUGCCGCUGCUUCUAGAGCCUCAUUUAAAAGGCUCACCUGAUUAGGUCAGGCCCACCCAUUGGUAAUCUCCCUUUUGACUGACUCAAAGUCAACUGAUCAGGAACCUUGAUUACAUCUGUCAAUCCCUUCAUAUCAUAUGAUGUAAUCCAAUCACAGGAGUGACAUCCACAAUAUUCACUGGUCCCACACAUACUGUAAGGGAGAUUAUUAUACAUGGGCAUGGGUCAUCUUAGAAUUCUUACCACACCCAUUUUCAAUUGGCUGGUUUGUCUCCUCCUCACUGUGUUAUAUGAGUGCUUUAUAAAUUCCAAAUACAAGUCCUGUACAGAUACAUGUAUUGCAAAUAUUUUUCUCCCAGCCCCUAACUUGCCUUUUCAUUUUCUUAAUGGUGUUUUUGGAAGAACCGAAAUUUUUAAUUUUGACGAAGUCCAAUUUGUCAGCUUUUCCUUUUAUGGUUCACACUUCAUAUUUCCCCACAAGAAAUCUUUGCCUACCUAAAGUUUACACUAUUGUCUCCUAUGUUUUCUUUUAGAAGUUUUAUAGUUUUACAUUUAGUUCUGUGACUCAUUUUAAGUCAACUUUUGUGUAUCAUGUGAGAUAAGAGUUGACAUUCACCUUCUUUUCCCAAAUGGAUAUACCAUUUUACCAGCAUUAUCUGCUGAAAACACCAUCAUGUCCCCCAUUGAAUUACCUUGGCACUUUAAUUGAAAAUCAAUGAAUAUGGGUCUACUUCUAGACUGUUAUUCCAUUGAUUUCUAUUUUUAUACUUAAUCUAUAGUAACCUACUUGAUUACUGUAUAUUUACAUUGUCUUAAAAUUUAGACAGAUUACACCCUUAAGCUUUGUUCUUUUCCAAAAAUUUUCUAUUUUAUGACCUUUUGAUUUCUGUAUAAAAUCUCAGAAUCAGCUUGUCAAAUUCUAAAAAUCAGAAAUAAGCCUGCUGGGAUCUUGAUUGGGAUUGCAUCGAAUAUGUAACUCAGCUUAGAGAGAAAUGCCAUCUAACAAUAUUGAGUCCUCUAAUCCAUAAGCCUGGUAUAUAUCUCCAUUUAUUUUCUCCCAGCUUCGCUUUAUAGUUUACAGCAUGCAUGUUUUUCACAUAUUUCAUUAAAUUUUCCUUUAGUAUAUAUCACCUUUUUAGAUGCUUUUAUAAAUGGUACUUAAAAUUUUCCUUUUCCAGUUGUUCAUUGUUAAUGUAUAGAAGUAUAAUUGAUUAUUGUGAUAUUGACCCUGUAUUUUGUGACUUAGCUAAGUUCACUUAAUAGUCCAGUAGAUUUUUUUUAAGAUUCGUUAGAAUUUUCGAGUACAUGAUCAUAUCAUCUGCAAAUAAAGUUUUGGUCUCUCCUUUCCAAUCUGUAUGCCUUUUUGCGCUAGCUCGGACCUCCAGCACAAUGUUAAAAAACAAACAAACAAAAAAAACAACUGGAGAGACCAGACAUCCUCACCUCAUUCCCAUUAUUAAGGAGG